GGGGUAGAGGGGGUUUUGUUACUGAGUAUACUCUUAGAGAAAUAGUUAACACUACAAUAGCCUUGAGGCUCAGAGCAGUGUGACAGGCAGUCGAAUGCGUGUACCUGUCCUUCUUAAGAUUUACUAUGAAACCAUCUUAAGCACUUUAUAACCCAGUCCUCAGGCUCUGGCGUUGCCAUGAGCACUUUUAACUGUCUCACCAGCUUUCCCAGGCACAGCCAUCACACUCCAUCCGUUCCAAAGUUAGCUAUAUAAAAAUAUCACCACAACCACAAAUUCCUUACAAGGUGAAGGACAUUACCAUUAAUGUCCCAAUGGCAUUACCAGUGCCCUGGCAUCCUGGUGGGUCCCAUUAAACAUGUUCACAAGGAGUUGGGGUCAUCUCAUCACCGUUUCUAUCUUUUGUCUCCUUUUAAAAAGACUUCCAUUUUUAUGUAUUUAUUUGCUUAAAACAUCCUACCUUUCUUUUUCCCGAAAAUGUCUUUAUCCCCAUCUCAGACAAGGAGCUGACACAGAUAAGAGCAAACUAGAUUCCACCUUUACACAGAUUUUUUGCUUAAAACACACACAACGUACUCUUCUUUAGAACACACACCCUCGAGGGGAGAAACCCUGGAACACAGUUCUUCGUGUGCACACAGAGUGCUGGAGGAAAUCCAUUAAUUUUGCCAUUCACAAUUUGAGAGCCUCUGUUCCAGAUGUCACUAGCCCUCUGGUGUUCAAUUGGAGUCAAUGUUUCUAGCUUCUUGAAGAGAUCUGAAAAGUGUUAAUGCCAAGAGUUUACUAUCAUUUUGAGGAGGUGGUCUCAUAUUAGAAUCACCUAGGCAACUUGAAAACAAAAUGAUGCCAAGGUUCAUCUCCAGAAAUUUGGAAACAACUGCCCUGGGGUUGAGUCCCAAGAUUUGUGCUUUUGAAAACUCCCAGGUGAAUCUACCAUGCAGCAGUGCUGAGCCGCAGUACUCGCCGUUCUAGGAAGCAGUUAGAUAGGAGUGCUGUUGGAGCUUUGCCAAAGAUGGUUUCCCAGGACCAGGUCAGAAGACAUAUUAUCAAUAAGAGCUGGCUCCUCGGAUGACCUGAUUUGCUUAACCCUUUCAUGUUUGCUGGAUACAUCUAAGACCUUACAUUUACCUCCGAGCACGGCUUCAGCGGCGUCUCAUCAGGUUUCAGUAUGCAGCACCUGCACUGCAUAAAGCACCUUAAUGAAUGAACCAGAUCUUAAUGGACCUACCUGUUCCCAAAGUGAAAGAGCUUCAAAGUGAAAGAGCUGCAGGUAUGUCAGCGCUGCCCAUGUCAUCUAUUACCUUAAACCAAACAUCACCAAACCUUGCUUUCAAGUAAGAAAACUGUAGAGAAAGUAAGAGUCAUGACGGCGUUUCUGCAUUUUAGCUGGUACAAGUGUGGAUCAAUUAUCCCACUUUGCUCAUAUUUUGCCAUUGGUAACCUUGCUAAUCCCAUCUAAUAUUCUGUAUAUAAAGCAACAAGUUACCCAAAAGUUACUUUGGAGUCUCCUCAUCACAGUUCAUGUUACAGAUGAGACUGCAGACACUUAUUUCUGUUAUCGUACUAUAGAUGUUUAUAUAGCUGAAGCUUUUUUCAACCCUUGAAUUAUUUUCCCCCUGAUAUUCUUCUCUUUCCUCCAAUCCUUACACAUGUCCACAUCUGAAAUACUGAUGAACAGGUUAUCACUGCUACCUGAAGUUCCUUCCUGGCUAGACCCCUGCAAACAACAGUCACUGAUUUCCAGAAGGCAGUUCCCACCCCCACACCCUGUGAGUGCUGCCAACACCUAAAACUACAUCCCAGUCAGAUUUCUGGCUCAGAAUCCUCUGCACUUUGAUUCUGGCAGCUGUUAAAACUCAAAAUAAUAGAAUCGAGUUGCUUCUUCCAAUGGAGGGCUCCCAGGCAGAGCCUGUGGUCAGACCCUGAAACAGCUUUUCAGGCUCCAUCUCUUAUGACAGCAGCUGUCAUCUGCCUGUUACAAGACUUUCAGGACUUGGCUCUUGGAGAACAGCCUUCGGCCACUUCACAGUGGGCUCUGUGGGCUCAUGGAGGGGCAUCCUGUGUUCUGUUCAACUACAUUCUGAGAGAGAGAACUUUUUACUGCUAUGGAAAAUUUUGUUCUUGUGCAUUACAAGUCUUGCCAAGUCUCUUAACGUGAGCAUUUCUUCAGAGAUGGAAGCCAGAAGAACUCUUUGGUUAUUCAGAUACAGAAUACAAGGCUGCAUAUUUGGGAGCAGCCUGGCUUUCUUCAUAAAUGCAUUUUGUAGGGUGAUGGUCUACAAAUAAUUGAAAUGGAAAGCCACUUGUAGAGACAACAACUUCAUCAAAGGACACAGACACACACACAGACACACAGACCUACACACACAACAAAGCACAGCACAGCACUCCAGUAUCUGUCAGAGAAACAAAGGCCCAAACCACAGUCCACUUUAUACUCACCAGAAUGGCUUGCAUGAAUUUGAAGUUGGGGUAAAUGUGAUUUUCACACGUGGUAUUGGUUUGGUUUUAAACCACAUGCUCACUUAUUUUAAGAAGCGUAAUUUAACUUUGGUUUCUUUAAAAGACAUCUUUGGGUUUCUUAAGCAUUGGAGGCAGUGAUGGAUUUAAAAAUCACUGGUACUGGUCGUUUCAAACGAAAGUAGUUUCCCUAAUCCAAAUACAUGCAGUGGGACACUAGGGGAUUUGUAACAGUGCUGCUGGCUUUGUUCCUGCCAAGGAUGUAUUUUUGCUUGGUGUUGGAAAGAAGCAUCCCGUGGACUUCAGAGAAGCUCCCCCACCCAAGCAUGAGUGCCCUGCGUUGCCCACAAAGCAGCCUGCCUUUUUCCACUGCAGACACACAGACACACACGCUCUCGCCCGCCCGCCCGCCCCUCAGAA
Molecule: non-coding RNA, 2880 nt
Organism: Odocoileus virginianus texanus
Lineage: Eukaryota; Metazoa; Chordata; Mammalia; Artiodactyla; Cervidae
Source: RefSeq, a predicted model, not a curated record